Molecule: long non-coding RNA, 335 nt
Organism: Centropristis striata (black sea bass)
Lineage: Eukaryota; Metazoa; Chordata; Actinopteri; Perciformes; Serranidae
Exons: 3
Source: RefSeq, a predicted model, not a curated record
AGCCCCAACAACUGAGAGGCUGGAAAUUACAUUUGAUGUUCAACAACAACAAAACAAUCAUACAAACAUUGGAGGAGUGUUGUCUCAAUCCUGGAAAGACUUCCACUGUGGAUUUGAGAAAACUAUCUUGGGAUGUUGGAGACCUGAAUGAUGGAGACAAGCUGGAGGUCAUCCUCUACAGCGACACUGGAAAGGAAAUUUUCACAAGAGAAUAUACAAGGAAGGGAUAUUCUGCAGAGUAAUCCAGCAGAGCUGAAAACACCAAGUCAUUUACACAUUUUAUCUCCAGGAAAUCUCCCUGUAAAACUUGAGACAUUUUUAAGAGUCCAUGUGCU